UUUAGGUGCGGAGAUAGAAU
This 20-nucleotide unclassified non-coding RNA is filed under the name Chlamydomonas reinhardtii. RNAcentral describes it as "small RNA Cre_4099". The record is from RNAcentral. Lineage: Eukaryota; Viridiplantae; Chlorophyta; Chlorophyceae; Chlamydomonadales; Chlamydomonadaceae.